Ahaetulla prasina is the source of this 7646-nucleotide RNA transcript. RefSeq lists it as uncharacterized. NCBI's taxonomy places the organism in Eukaryota, Metazoa, Chordata, Lepidosauria, Squamata, Colubridae. The transcript is spliced from 6 exons. The record is from RefSeq and is a predicted model, not a curated record.
AGAGUUGAGAAUGGGUGCUGCCCUUAGAUAGCUGGAUAUGAGGCCUUACUUGUGAAAUUAGGGAUUAGAUGAGAUUGCUAGUUGGCACUGGAGUUCCCCAAUCUUAUAGUUCUAGGGGAUUUCAUCAUGCUUAUUUGCUUAGGGAACAAAGUUGUAUGCCAGCACAAUUACCAGAUUCUUGGUGACCAACAAGAUAUAAAAAUACAAUAAAGAAUUUUUAAAAAGUAGAUAAAACAAAAACAAAUAUACGCCAUAAGUCCUUAAAAGCCCUCCAGAAAUGUGCUCAUUUUCAACCUUUUACUAAAAGCAGCAGUGUGGGAGACAGACAUAUCUGCAAAGUUUUAGGACAGCCUUCUCCAAGCUGAUGCCCUUCAGAUAGGUUGUUUAUACUCCACCUUUAUUAUUAUUUUUUAUUAAUAACUCGAGACAGUAAAUACACAAUAUACUCCUUCCUCCUCCUAUUUUCCCUAAAACAACAACCCUGUAAGGUGAGUUUGGCUAAGAGAGAGAGAGAGAGACUGAUCCAAAGUCACCCAGACAGUUUUCAUGCCUAAGGUGGAUCUGGAACUCACAGUCUCCUGCCUUCUAGCAUCGUGCCUUAACCACUACACCAAACUGGCUUUACGCGGGGCUAUAAUUCCCUGUUUUGAAUGUUCUGCUUGCUACCAUGCCUAAUAGUGCUGCAAACAAGAAUUAAACUAUAAGGGGGUGGAUGGAAAAACAAUGGCACAAGGAGGCUUGGUAUGUGUGAAGUGCUGUGCCAAUCUCAUCCAUGCACCACAUAUUGGCUUGUUAUAUUUUAUUAAAGCUAUAUAUUACAGGCUAGCAAAUAAAUGAAAAACAAAUAAAGCAACUGUGAGAGGUGAAGAUGGAGCUGACAUUUUGUUCCAGGUGCAAUAUAAUGUGUGUGCUCUUUUAAACAGGGAUAUCUCAUAUAAUCAAAUACAGACCAUUGAGAAAAACGCAUUUGAACCUGUUCCACUUCUGCAAUCUAUGUAAGUCUUUAAGUAAAAAAAAACCUCCCCAGUUUAAACCAUGGUGAAAAUUGGGGUAGGAGGCAAACUGAAAUCAAAUGGCAAUUAAUCUUCCAGCUGUAGGUGUGUCAAUGACUUAUUAUUGAAUGGUUGACUGCCCUCAACCCUUUUUAAAAUGGGGAGAGGGAGCUUGGACUCAAGGAUAAAUGAAUUUUGCAUUUUCUAAGAAGUACUGUAUGAGUUCAGACUGAACUCUGAGUGGUUCAAAAUUCAGCUCUAGGUUUGAUUGUCAGGGCCAGACCUGAGUCUUCAUAAGUGGGAAGAGCCUAAAGUGUUUUUAUAGAGUUGUAGGGCUUACUAUGAAUUGGAAUCUCUAGAGGCAAAAUUAUAUGGCUUGCAGGGAAUUUCAUUAGCCCUUUGAAUCAUGAGCUCUGCCAUCCUAUUAAGUAAUGAUACCUUAACCCUAACAUGCAUUGAAGCUUCUAACUAAAGAACUAGCAUGGUAAUUGGAGGAAGCCUGGAGUGAUUGUUGAAAAGGUCAAAAUGGUAGUAUACUAGCUUAGUUCAUUGGAAAAGGAAGAAAUCACUCUCACCCUGCACAUAAUUCUCGUAUCCCCAGUCAACGAAGAAGAAGAAGAAAGUUUUUGGGUCUGCUUUAUUUUAUCUGUUGUUUAUUUAAUACAGUGGAAGACGUUCUACAUAGCUUUCUUGCUUUCCUUUCCUUUCCAGCAAUCUCAGUGGCAACCGUAUUGUGCAGAUAAAACAGGGGGCUUUUCAGGCCUGGCACGGGAUGCAGUUGCUAUACAAGUUGUAAGUGAAAGUGAAACUCUUUCAGAUAGUGGGUGAGAUAGAUGGCUUCUAACAAUGGGGCACAAACUCUCCUCUAAUGCUUGCAGGAGAUCAACAGGUUUGUAAGAUGGCUUUCAAUCCCAAACAUUUCUCUUUUGAAGGAGAAGGGGGAAGAUAUAGCCUCUGAGUAGGGAGAGCCAACAGUCUCUAAGUUGGUCUCCAAGGCAGAUGUCUUGAUCUCCCACCAGGAUAUAUCUGGGAUAUUUUCUUACAUUGUUAUGACUUUACAUCCCAUUGUUCCCAUAACAUUGGUUAUUCCACACCUCUUCCUUGGAGUAACAAUAACUAGCAUUUUGUGAUGAAUUCUUAUAAAUGAGCUAUAUAAAUACAUAAUAGAUAAGUGAGAUUCGAGGCACUAUUAGUAUAGCAAUGGUCCAUAAAGUCAUUACUGCUAAAAUAUAUUUAAGGCAAGUCACCCAAAAUACAAUGGCAGAGCUUUAAGGCACUCUUUGAGAUACUAAGCAUUUUCUCAUAAACCCUCUUUUUUCAUGUUCAGACAACUUAGAGAGGGAAGGAAAAAUAUCAUAUAUUUUUAACUUUAGUUUUUAACAAAAAGGUAAGCGCUGUAGUGGAAAUAUUUGCAAAUUUAAACAGGAGAGUUGGGAAACUACACAAUCUGUACCUCAUUCUAAAAACUCUUGUAAGUAAAGAAUCACUAAAUUGGAAAGUAUUCCAUGAGAACAUUAAUCUCUCGAAUUUAGGUAGCAUUAAUUUUAUUGUUUAAUCUGUAAAAUGUGAGAAAAAGCCUUUGAUGGAAUAGGAUCAUUUUGGGAGAAAUGAUCCCAAAGAAUAAGAAUUUAGGUAUGCCUUUAACCUAGCACAAGAUCUUAUAGAACAAGUAGAGAACUAUGGUUUUGCUCCAUUUAACAUACAUGCAAUUAUACUGAGGUGCUCAGAAAUGAGGGAUUGAUUUAAAAAGAGGCAAAGUUCCUAUUAGGAGCUUUUGAAUGAAUUUGGUGGUAAGAGGAACCUGUUCUUUAACUGAACGGAAAAAGUUAAAGGAAAGAAUAAGACAAUCAGAAAUAGGUUUAGUGCACUUGAAAUAUAGCAUUUUAUGUGGUGCAAAAUAACCAGAUAAACUCUUUCCCAUAAGAAGUAGCAAAUUUUACUUUGGGUAAUUCUAAAGGGAAAUGGAGAAAAGAUCUAUCAAAGGCUACCAGUCUUGAACUUUCAGGGAAUGCUGCUAAGGAUAAGAGCAUGUUCCUGCCACUUUUUUGACUGGAAGUGAGAACUAAGUAUGCCAGAUAAAUAUAACAAAGUUGAAUGCAGUGGAAAUGAGUUAUUUAAAAAGUAUAUUACCUCUUAAAAAGAAAUCAUAGGAUCCAUAAGAAUAUUGAUGAUGAACAAAUGUGAAUUAAACACAAAAGUAAUUAGCCAGUAUGGAAGAGAUGCAGUUUGUUGAGGUAGUUUAAACUGAGUGGGAAUUGAAAUGCAAAACAAUACAUGAAAAAAGAGGACUGAGAGAAAAGGAAAACAUGGAGGGAUGGAAUUGACGAGGAUCUCAAAAGAGAGAAGGGAAAAAUGUAAAGGCAAAAUAUGGGAUGGGCAUGGAAACACGGAUACUUGCUUAUAGGUAGAAAAAUGUGGAGAGAUAAAGUAAAAAUGCUGAUAUAAACUAGAUUUAUAUUUCUUUUUUCAGAUCUGCUGCCUUUAAUUUCUUUUGUUUAUUAUUUCUUACUAGUAGGAUUAGUAAUUAAUAAUAAAGUUAUUUAAGGUCAAAGAACAAAAGAAGACUUGAAAAAUUUGUUGCUUAUACGCUACCUGAAUUCUUCCUCUUUUAUUCUGCUACCUCAAUUGUGCCAAACUGAUAACCAGCUCUUUUGUCCUUCAGGAUUCUCAACCAUAACCCACUGAGAAAGAUUGAGGAUUCCCAUUUCUACAAAUUGCCCUCACUGAGAUACCUGUAUGUGUGAAGUUGCUCUUGGCUUUAUUAAGGGUUUGUUUACUCUGGAAUGUAUUCAGCUUUUUUUUUCCUGAUUAAUUUGGCUUGGGCUACUAUAUCUGAAGAUCAAUAUGGUCCUUGGUCAGGGUCAGAAUUACCUGGGUCCAGAUUUUCUUACAGGCAUAGAAUAGCAUAACCAUGGACUAGUCAUUAGCUGUCAGUGCUUUAACAUUGUCUAGAUCAGGAAAAAGAUCCCACAAGAAGACCAGAACUAGGCUUCAUUGAGAAGGUUAGAUAGUUGCCUUGAGGUCUGAAGGAAAGUUGGUAACUGUAAAUAAAUCACAGAGUUAUUUUUGUAAGGAGAAAACAAAAUAGGCAUGAAUUAUAUAUGUAUGUAAAAAAGAGGAAAAGGAGUAGGAAAACAUUGUAUAUUUUGUAUUUGCUAUUGUCAGCAUUUCAUUCCAUUAAUUUUUAAUCCUGGGUCCUGGAUCUCUUACCUAGACUGGAAUUUAUGAAUGAAUCCAUGGAACUACAUGCAGUUGCUUUAAUUCUACAUUUGUUUCUUUGUCAGCACACAGUAAAGGGAAACAUCCCAAUAUAUUUUGUACCCACUGGAAGACUUUAGGCAAAUUGACUUAUUUUAGAAUAAGCUUUGAAGCUCAAGCCUUGCACAAAAUCACCAGUUAGCAUUUUUAUUUAGUGUGAACUUAUCACAAGACCUAUGUAUUCCCCUACAACAAAAGCCUUGUGGGUUAGGAUGGCUGAGAAUGAGUGGCUGAUCCAAAGUCAUAGAGGGAGUUCAGACAAUUAAGUGGAGACUGGAACUUGGGUCUUCCCACGCCCUUAAUCAUUCUGGAUCUUAAUUGCUCUGACAACUCCUAUGGAAACCAGUGCCAACAAUCUCAGUGAUGGGCUGUGAUUAAUUAAUAGGAAGGAACAUCUUUAUAUGUAUUUCUUUUCUUACUUUAAGCAUUGAUUCAUAUAUGGCAGGACGGACAUCCUGGCAUUUGAAACUCAGCUUGGGGGCUAAGUCAUGGCAACUUUCCAGUCUGGCUCUGCAUGAUGAAGAGUUGUGUACAGUAUUGUUCAGCAGAAGCAAUCCAUUUUUUACCUCCCUGCAGUAGCUGGUCAAAUCAUUUGAUUACUUUUAAAUUACCACAUUGUUAUUUGAGUCCUUUUCCUCAAGGAGCUCAGAGCAGUGAAAUAAUAAUAUUUAUUCAUUUUAUAUUUGAGCAAUCCAAUCAGAUAAACCAAGUUCUCAACACUUACGUUGGUCAACACUUGCAUACAUUGAAUAUAAAAAUUGGCUACUAAACGUGUGUUGUGUUUGGUCCGUGUACUGAACCGUAAACAUAUCAUGCUAAUCCAAAAAAAGAGCACAAAGUAAGAUUUAAAAUAAUCUAGUUUUGCCUAUUAUGUGACUGUAGAUGCCAGGUCUUAACUUGGUUAACUGUGUUGUAAGCCCAAUCAUAAACUAGGUCAAGGGAUAACCAAUGAGGCGAAGUCUCCCACUCAAUGUCAUGAAUUCAUUUUCACUGGCUGUGUUCUGCAAAUUGUCUAACUCUUCCUAUCUCUGGAAAAGUCUGCAUGUCCUUUUUUUGCAGAGACCUUGGUUCUACAGAAAUAACCAUAGACAUACUAGAGAAUUUGCUCAAAAUCUCCUUCAAGUUGAAAACUCUUAUUUUGCCUAGGAAAAUGUCCUGCUGCCUUUGCCGAAAUCAGGAUGCCAUUGAAACUUUCUCUAAUACCAUCAAGUUGGAUUGCUCCAAAGAAUGUCUCCCAAACAUCUUUGACGAUGAGAAAGAGGAACUUUGGGAAACUAUGCAAGAUGAUGUAAAGAAAGUACUGAAAACCAGAAAAUUAAAUGCCACCAACAUACUAAAUAUUAUCCCUGAAAAACCUGAACAUCAUAAUGUCACACUAUCACUCUUGGUGACCCACGGACAUACUCAUUUAGGUAUCCAUUUUCAUAAACACACACCAGAUAUUCUUAAAUCAGUCAGUGGAUUGAGUAAACUCGCUCCUGAUGAAUAUGUGGAUGUGAAGUGGUCUGAUAAAAAUGAGCUGGAUAAGCUGUAUAAGUUAACAAAUUUGCUACAGGUGGCUCUCAAAGCAAAAUUAGCAGAAAACGAGGAGGAGAUUCAAGAUUUGGAGAUCCAAAAGGAAUUGCCUGUAGAAAUUUCAGAUUAUGGCAACAUCAUCCUAAGCAAUAAAAGCCAUAGGAAAAGAUUAAAGAGCCAUCUGAAAAGGGUAAAGAGAGACCACUGGUUUGGAAAAAAUCCAAGGGAAAAAGAGUUAUUUUUUAGGUUCAGAAAAAACGUAGAAUUUCCAAAAGCCACUGGAAAACCUACAGGAGAACAAGGAAAACUUGUGUUGUGUACCACGGCAGAAAAACGGGAGAAGCUAGCAAGGGAACUAGAGCUUCAGAAGGCUGUUUCUCUUAACAGGUUUCUUCAGACAGUACUUCAUUCCUUACAGAAUCAUUCCAUUUCGAAUCUUCCAACUAAGAUGCCUCUCUUGACUGCUUCUAUUGUAGUUAAGGUUGGUGCUGAAGACUCAGAAACUUUGAACAAACACUUGCCUGAUAUAACAUUGUCUCAUGAGACACAUUGGAAGCAUCAUAAACAAACCACCUCUGCUCUCCCCAGCAGAGACACUGUUGACAAGUUGCUUCAGAAGGAACUCUAUGAAGUUGAGUUAAACAAGGUGUUGGCAUCUAUCUUCCCAAGUGAGUCUGAAGCUCAUUUAAGGAAACUCUUUUUCCGCCUGAUCCCUAUUAUGAACAUGGACUGCAGUGAGCCCAAUAUCCAGAUGGCUUGUAAUAAAUUAUUCUCUACACUAAAUCUUCUCUUGAAGGAUUUCAAUGUGAAACCCAGCCAGGAGACACCUGUUCUAUGGAACUCUUACUUUUGGCCCACUAAGAACAUAAAUGAUAUGAUUACGGCAAGCUCCAGAAAAAUGGAGAAACCUUCUGAUGAGAUAGCAAGGCAGCGAAUUCCAGAAUUUGAGUAUUACCAAAAGUUACUGUUGGGCAUUUUGGUGGCGAUUAUGAUGGCUAUGGUUGCAUUAAUUCUUUUGAUUACGGCCUGCAUGGCAUAGGUCCAAGUUACCUGAGAAACCAUCCCACCCCAAUGGGACUGAUCCACCCCAUUCAUACCAGCAGAGGAGACAUGCUGCAGUCCUAUCACGCAAGGAAUUUUGGCUGGUGAGGUCCAGGAGAAGGACCUUCUCUGCUAUAGCUCUUGCCCUUUGGAACCUCCUGAGGUGAGAUCCCACCCAUCUGACCUUCCAUAAGGGCCUGAAGACCUGGCUCUGCCGGAUGAUUUGGGGCCCCAAUGGGGGAGCAUCACAUAGAAGUGGUUGAUCCCACCUCCCAUCCAGUGCACAUCCUGCUUCCUCCCUCCCUUCCUGUUUUACUUUUUAGUUAUUUUUAAUUUAUUAAGUUUAUAUUUGAUUGUAACUUCAUUUUUAUCAUAUUAAAAAUAAUUAUCUUUAUCUUAUGGUUUUAAUACAUUCUGUAUUAAAGGGAUAUUAAGGAUACAUUAAAGAAUGUAUCUGCCCUCAGUGUGGAAGGGAUUGUCACUCUCGAAUUGGCCUUUUUAGCCACACUAGAUGCUGUUUCCAGAGCACGAUACCAUAGUCUUUUGAGACUGAAGGAUGGCAAUAACUAACCAAUAGUUUUAAUACUUUUAAUGCAAUAAAUCACCUAGGGUCGCCUUGACACAAGAUGAGUGGCAAUUAAAUCUAAUUAAUAAACAAAUGACUAGGUCAAGCUGGGCAAUGAUAAAAUACUAAAACUGCUGCCAGAGCAAUACUUAAUUUUAUUUUUUUACCAGUACCUCGGGAACAGAAGAAGAGGAACCAAAGGCAGUUCAAAGAAAGUAAGUUCAGGAGAGGAAGAGGGAGGUGAAGAAAACCUAUCAUUCUAUGAUCAUAUCUAG